CAGGCCUUGACAUCCAAUGAACUUUCCAGAGAUGGAUUGGUGCCUUCGGGAACAUUGAGACAGGUGCUGCAUGGCUGUCGUCAGCUCGUGUCGUGAGAUGUUGGGUUAAGUCCCGUAACGAGCGCAACCCUUGUCCUUAGUUACCAGCACGUCAUGGUGGGCACUCUAAGGAGACUGCCGGUGACAAACCGGAGGAAGGUGGGGAUGACGUCAAGUCAUUAUGGCCCUUACGGCCUGGGCUACACACGUGCUACAAUGGUCGGUACAGAGGGUUGCCAAGCCGCGAGGUGGAGCUAAUCCCAGAAAACCGAUCGUAGUCCGGAUCGCAGUCUGCAACUCGACUGCGUGAAGUCGGAAUCGCUAGUAAUCGCGAAUCAGAAUGUCGCGGUGAAUACGUUCC
This 400-nucleotide ribosomal RNA is filed under the name uncultured bacterium. Its description in RNAcentral is "bacterial SSU rRNA". It matches the Rfam family "Bacterial small subunit ribosomal RNA", at positions 975 to 1374 of the family's 1533-position model. The record is from RNAcentral.